AGUCUGAUGGAGCACGCCGCGUGAGACGAUGAAGGCCUUCGGGUCGUAAAGCUCUGUUGUUAGGGAAGAACAAGUACCGGAGUAACUGCCGGUACCUUGACGGUACCUAACCAGAAAGCCACGGCUAACUACGUG
This 135-nucleotide ribosomal RNA is filed under the name uncultured bacterium. Its description in RNAcentral is "partial 16S ribosomal RNA". It matches the Rfam family "Bacterial small subunit ribosomal RNA", at positions 380 to 507 of the family's 1533-position model. The record is from RNAcentral.